Molecule: ribosomal RNA, 225 nt
Filed under: uncultured Sediminibacterium sp.
Lineage: Bacteria; Pseudomonadati; Bacteroidota; Chitinophagia; Chitinophagales; Chitinophagaceae
Description: partial 16S ribosomal RNA
Rfam family: Bacterial small subunit ribosomal RNA
Source: RNAcentral
UGCGUAGGCGGGCAGGUAAGUCAGUGGUGAAAUCCCCGAGCUUAACUUGGGAACUGCCAUUGAUACUAUCUGUCUUGAAUACUGUGGAGGUAAGUGGAAUAUGUCAUGUAGCGGUGAAAUGCUUAGAUAUGACAUAGAACACCUAUUGCGAAGGCAGCUUGCUACACAGAAAUUGACGCUGAGGCACGAAAGCGUGGGGAUCAAACAGGAUUAGAUACCCGCGUA